UCCUCAGUAGCUCAGCCGGUAGAGCAGCUGACUGUUAAUCAGCGGGUCGCAAGUUCGAGUCUUGCCUGAGGAGCCA
RNAcentral lists this transfer RNA (76 nucleotides) under Thiothrix sp. RNAcentral's name for it is "tRNA-Asn". It matches the Rfam family "tRNA". Rfam says of the family: Transfer RNA (tRNA) molecules are approximately 80 nucleotides in length. Their secondary structure includes four short double-helical elements and three loops (D, anti-codon, and T loops). Lineage: Bacteria; Pseudomonadati; Pseudomonadota; Gammaproteobacteria; Thiotrichales; Thiotrichaceae. The record is from RNAcentral. RNAcentral also lists the same sequence under 2 other names.